UUUCUGUGGAGGGGAAUCUGGCAUCAUAGUUUAAGAACGCUCAAGUAACCUUACUGAGUGGUCCACACAGGAAGAAAUUGCAGCCUUCAGCCAGUAGCCAGGAUCACCUUUCUUGCCAUUUUAAAUUCAGUCACAUCCUUGUCAGUGGGAAUUAGAACGAAGGGCAGCAUUCCACUAAAGUGACCAACAGUGCUUUUCUCAAAUCAAGUAAACUUCUUUGUGGUGACGCAAUAUGCCAGUGACCAUGGACAGUGACCAUGGACGGAAGCUCCAACACAGUGGUGACAUCAGCCUUGGUGACAGAAGGAUGACAGAGUGUGCAGUGAUCUGCACAGGCACAUGGUGGGCUGUAGGUGAAUCCAGUCUGUGCUGGUGUGCAAAGGAUUGUGGGUAAGCUGAAUAGACUUAAAAGGACAGCAGUCGGAACUCUCACUCAUUUUGGCUGCAACUUCUUCUCCUGAUCAGAUGCAUCUUGGCAGAGAUGCUCUAGGCAUCCAUCCUCUAUGUCUACUUCUCUGGGGAACCUAACAUGUGAGACUCUGCUAGUCUAUAAAUUUUUAGACCCCUCUACAGCCAUGAGCAACCUUUACCAGAUCUGAUAAUUGUUUAUCUUAUGGAACUAAAUUUUGAUAACCAUAUUCAGACUUUAUAGACCUAGCAUACACUUGACCCUUGAUGACAACUGCUUAUUUUGCCUUUUACCUAUUUCACUCUAAUAAACCAUGUAUUAUUUAAACCA
Erinaceus europaeus (western European hedgehog) is the source of this 739-nucleotide long non-coding RNA. RefSeq lists it as uncharacterized. NCBI's taxonomy places the organism in Eukaryota, Metazoa, Chordata, Mammalia, Eulipotyphla, Erinaceidae. The transcript is spliced from 2 exons. The record is from RefSeq and is a predicted model, not a curated record.